GUCAGCUCCAUUGUGUACCAACAACUCAAGCACCUCGAGCUGUAAACCACAUGUCACUCACGUGUCCCCAACAGGCAGCUGCGUGAACAGGUUGCCAUUUAUCAUUGUCCACAACAUCGGUUGAAACGUGCUGAUCAAGAAGAAAUUCAACGACUCUGAGAGAAAAAAAUCAAAGGCGAGGAAGGAUUUUGCCUCGCUACACUACCUUCGUCGAGAUCGUUUCUAGCCGCAGCUUCUAGAAGCAUAACGCUGUCGCUAAAAAAUAUGUGACGUUUAUUGCUUGGGUGUUUAUUCUGGUGACGGAGCCAUUCUUUUUCUCGAUGACGCCAUUGCUUCAGCUGCUGCAGCCUCCGAUGACGUGCCAAAUGGAGUCGUUCCUGAGUCGUCAAUCUCUCAAUGUGCAUCAUCUCUGCUACCAAGUCCGAGUGCUCCAUGAUGUAGGUGCGUGGCUGAUGUAGACCUGCCUUCUUCUAUCAUACACAUCGCGCCUGACUCUCAUCACGCAUCUACGACGUCAACAUCCAGUCUCACCGAGUUACAUAUUUAUACUUAUUUACUAAGCUGCCUUUGUCUGCGCAAGGUUUACAAGACCGAGAUAAUGUUUUGUGAAAAACAAGCAAGACACAGCAGCAGCGUAGCAAAGAUUCGAGAUACCACAGAAAUGAAAAUACGCAGAAUUUUUUGCAUAACUAAGCGAUACGCAUAGACUUUCCAAACCAAGUGUAUUAAUUAAUUCAAUCUUCGUUAUCCCUUAAAACAUGUCUCGGUUGAAAACGGUAAAGACUAUCGAAUAAAUAUCACCUUGAUGGUGAAGUACUUUUUUUUAGAUAAUGUAAAUCAAAAGAUCAUAAAGCAAAUGACCGUCACUUAAUUUUUACUCUAGAAAAGUUUUUUCUGUGAAAAGUGAUUGAAACCUAAUUAGCUAUUGGUGAGUAUAAAAUGGUAAAAUUAUGGCUAAAUGUUACAUCAUUGAUUUGCAAUUUUGUUUAGUAUCAAGUAUAUGAAUCAGUAUUAUAAUUCCGACGAACUAAUUUCGGAAGAAUUAAUUUAUGAGUAACGACAAAAUACUAGUAAUAUUUCUUCAAAAAGUAUAGAAUCAUAUGAUUUCAGAGUUGCGGAAAAAAUGUUGCUGAUUUCUCCUCAAAUGUAACUCACUAUGUAUUACUUCUAUUGAAGAUGCACAACAUUAUGAAACAAAUAUAUUUUCAAAGGAACAGAAAAUUACAUAAUUUGAAAAAUCAAGUUUUUUCUGCUAGCAAGUGUCAAUCAAAAAACUUACUAAGAAUUCAAUUCAAUGAGAAAACUUUAGGUCGUUACUUACAUUUGCUACGUCUAUUUACUAUUAUUGAUAAUUAAUUCCUAGUUCAUGUAUCGUGUAGAAUAUCUAUAUUAGGCGAUAAUACGUUUCAUAUUGCCAAAUUUACUAACAUAGAAUAUUACUUAACACGGAUGGACAAUAGUUGUUUUUUUUUCGAGUAGUAAUGUUUCAAGGAAAUUAUUUGUUCCUCAAAUAUUCACGUAAGCGGUGAAUUAUGAAACAAAAAUAAGAUAAUUUUAUAAAAACGUUUGUUUGUUACGGUUCUUAGAAGCUGCGCGUAAAAUUUCAUGUAAGCGAUAAGUUUCAUUACUCUCGCCAGAGAAUUGAAAUUUAAAUGUGCAGGAUAGAUGUAACGUAUAUUCAAAUUUACAAUUAGAAUUCGCUACUAAUUCAACAACAAAAGCGCACUGACCGAUGAUUUUAUGCUGAAUAUGACGAAAUGACAAACUGAAAAAAGUGACUAGUCACCAGUCCUGUUAUCGGUAAGAAUCUAAAAUUAUCUGUGACGACAUAAAAGGACUAAAAUUCAGCACAGAUCAAAGAAACAUUUCAACCCAUGUAAUUUAAUGUAUAUUUCAUUUGUAGAAAACGACGUGUACUCUUUCAAUUGUCUCGACAUUUAUAGAUUUUUCAGAAUAUCGAGGCUUACGGCUAUCCCGUCUUAGCUUAACUAUCCGAUUCUCACACUCUCUCCCCCUCUCUAGAGUUAGUUGUGUUUCAUAAAUGAGAUAAUUUUCUCCAUUCUGUACGAAUGAACUAUUUCUAAGAUGGUAAAAGAAUCCAAAUUUGACUAAAAUUGUUUCAAUUCAUGGCACACUAGACGCCCUCUAUCGAUACUUUUUCGUCGCUCUGAGGAUUAUCAACUUUCAUUUUUGCGAUUACUGUUUCUGCCAAUUUUUUGGGCAAGACAUGACCAGACAACUUAGAAAUUUCCAACGCUUCUCUUUAAGGAUGUACCAGACAUACACGACAGUGAAAGAGCUGUGAAGACGGAAAUAUCAUAUAACGAAGGUUUGGAAAUGCAAUUAAAGUUCAUCAAUUUAAAUUUCAUUGAUACAAUAACACAGAAAAAAAAAUUUUUAAAUCAAAAAUUUCAUCUAAACUAGCUGAUCUUUUGAUGGCUUUGAAGAAAUCUCAAUGUUUUAUCAUUCUUACAAUGAAAAAACUGUACUCAAUUUUAUAUGAACCAGGGCUCACUUUUAACGUAAAUGAAUUCUCUAGAAAUCGACAAACUCAUAUUUUUUAUUGGACUUCUCAUUUGAGGUAAAAGAAAAAAAAAAAAAAACAUGCUUAGUGAAAUCAUUUCAAGUGACGAAUCGUAAACCAAUGCCUUAAUAAGAAAUGCUCCGUCAUUAUUCAAAAUCCGACUUUGCGGAUAUGUCGAGAAUUUAUUUAGAAACAAAACAAGCCCUAGAUCAUUAUAAUUGGUCAAACGACGCAAUUUAUUCAUCAUAGAAAUGAUUUGAUAAUGGAAUGUUUUCAAAGGUACCGACAAUUGUGCCAUUGUGGCUAAGAUUUAUGGUCUGUUAAACAUUCAAACCUUCGUUAUAUCAUAUUUCUCUCAUUACAACUCUUCAACUGGACUGUACUUCUAAUAUAUCGUAAUGGAGGAUGGAGUAUUAAAAAUCGAUAAUUUAUAUUGCUUUUAUUACAAGGCAAUCCUAUAUUGAAUAUUUAUCGAAAUUAUCAUAUUUGUAAUCUACUACGGUUGUACAAUUUAAUCAGCUUCACCGGCCAGGAAUAUGGUAAAAACCUGGUUAAUCAGCCAAUGGUUUAACCGAUUAACCGGUCAAGUUCGGCAAACCUUCCGAAAUGGUUUAACCAGUUAAUAGUUAGAUACGCAGAAAAUCAAUUAGAUUAAAAAUCAACCAUUCUUUUAAGUGGUUGACUUUCAACCAUUUUCAUUUAACAGUUAACUGUCUUGGCUGGGUAAACCGGUUAAAUUGUACAGCCACACAAUCUUUGAAUAUCUCUUGAAGAAAACAAGAAUACAAAGUACAGAAAUUAUAAAGAAAAAGCUCAAAUAUCGAUGCUGCAUUUCAGGUCGCUUCAAAAUGGUUAAAAAUCUAGUAGAUUAAUUCGAUUCCAUUCUACGAUGGCUUACUUUAUUCGGAAAACUAUUUUCUACAAAGUCAAUGAAACAGAUUUCACAGUCGUUACGACAUUGCCAAAUUCCCAACCAUAAUCAAUGUCAGUACAACGCUGUAAAAUCAAAUAUUUAACAAUGCCAAGAUAAUAAAGAAGAUAUUUUCAGUAAAUUCAUAUAAAAUAGUCUUUUGAAUAGAAUGCGUCAUCGUACAUACUGAAAUUGAUCGAAACUACUAGAUCUCAACCAAUUUUGAAGCGAUUUGUAGUAACGCAUCGCUAUCUAAUUGCAAGCUUUUGUUUAUAAUGCCAGUAUUUUUUAUUUUAGGGUUUUUAAGUAUAUCUUUGUAGCCUACGAGUAUCAUACUGUGAUAAACACUCAAUGACUAUCUUGUAAUAAAAUUGAUAAAGAAUUACAAUUUUUUGGCUCACGAUCCUUCUGAAAUUCAUUAUUUGCGUAAAACUAGCAGCGAGAUGUAAAGAAACGAGCUUCCAGCUGUUCCGCAGGUUCAAAAGAUAGCUUAUCUGCUAUCACAUCGUUCCGUUACCACAUCUUAUUACUAUUCUACUAUACUGUAUACCUAUUACUAUUCCCUGAAAUUGCAUGUUAAAAAUUAUUCCAAUUCUAGCUAUUCUCCAAUUCUCAUCAUCAAUGACAUAUGAUGUGCUUACUCUACUACAGAUAAGAAAUAAUCAAAAUUCGAAGCGUUAGAUCUUGCGAUAAAUGUCUAAAAACUACACGUAAAAUAUGGAUAAAAACUUUUCAAUAUCAUUGUCAACAGGUUGUGAUAACUUGAAAUCAAACGCGCCAAUUCGAUCGCAAUGCAAAUCACUUCGUUGAUACGCAUUCCGUUGUGUUUGCCUCCAAAUACAUAAAUAUAACAUUUGACAACGAAAUUCGCAGCAAUUCCAGUGUAAUUCAUCGAUACAAAGUUGUGAGCUUGAUUAUUGGUACUUGAUUACAGAAUACAGCAAAGGGAGGGAAGAAAUUUAGAAUGUAGAACAAUCCACUAAUACAAGCAGUCUAAAAUAUGACAAAGACCCAAAAAACUCUACUCUGCUUAUCAAAGUUCUCCAGCCAAGGCAACAGAGGGAAAACAUUGCGCGGACCGUUCUUGCACGUAUAAAGGCACGUUACAUUCACAUAAUAAUGCAGGUAUAAAAGGCCGCAAGUUUCAUGCCUACGUUGGAAGAAAUAUUUUGCUGCUUGUUAUCUUAUCUAGUCAUCUUUUAUUAGGCUCUUAUAAUACAUAAUUGGAGGUCUUAGAAUACAACGGCUUAACAAAUGUGAAACAAGCAAAAUAGGAAAACGAAUUGAAAAGUAAAAUGUAAUUAAAAUGCAAUUUCUAAAUGUAAAUUAUCGAUAAAAAUAGCAACAAUUAUAAAUGCAAUACCUGAAGGAAAAA
Molecule: long non-coding RNA, 4809 nt
Filed under: Neodiprion pinetum (white pine sawfly)
Lineage: Eukaryota; Metazoa; Arthropoda; Insecta; Hymenoptera; Diprionidae
Description: uncharacterized LOC124211568
Source: RNAcentral